AUUGAACGCUGGCGGCAGGCCUAACACAUGCAAGUCGAACGGCAGCACAGAAGAACUUGCUCUUUGGGUGGCGAGUGGCGGACGGGUGAGUAAUGUCUGGGAAACUGCCCGAUGGAGGGGGAUAACUACUGGAAACGGUAGCUAAUACCGCAUAACGUCGCAAGACCAAAGUGGGGGACCUUCGGGCCUCACACCAUCGGAUGUGCCCAGAUGGGAUUAGCUAGUAGGUGGGGUAAUGGCUCACCUAGGCGACGAUCCCUAGCUGGUCUGAGAGGAUGACCAGCCACACUGGAACUGAGACACGGUCCAGACUCCUACGGGAGGCAGCAGUGGGGAAUAUUGCACAGUGGGCGCAAGCCUGAUGCAGCCAUGCCGCGUGUAUGAAGAAGGCCUUCGGGUUGUAAAGUACUUUCAGCGGGGAGGAAGGCGGUGAGGUUAAUAACCUUGCCGAUUGACGUUACCCGCAGAAGAAGCACCGGCUAACUCCGUGCCAGCCGCCGCUGUAA
RNAcentral lists this ribosomal RNA (506 nucleotides) under uncultured bacterium. Its description in RNAcentral is "partial 16S ribosomal RNA". It matches the Rfam family "Bacterial small subunit ribosomal RNA", at positions 30 to 523 of the family's 1533-position model. The record is from RNAcentral.